RNA transcript from Triticum aestivum (bread wheat), 2078 nucleotides. It is a transcript of the gene named CBL-interacting protein kinase 15-like, with no coding region annotated. NCBI's taxonomy places the organism in Eukaryota, Viridiplantae, Streptophyta, Magnoliopsida, Poales, Poaceae. The transcript is spliced from 2 exons. The record is from RefSeq and is a predicted model, not a curated record.
UCAUCAUCUCCUUUCCUUUCCUAACCUCCUCCGCCCCUCGAGCCUCGAUAUAUAAAACGCGGGGUCGCCGGAGGCCGCUCACCUCACAACCCCAACACACUGGGAACCCGACUCAGCCCCGCAAGCCCCAAGAAAAGGAGAGAACCAGAACCCCGCGUGGCGCUCCGGCGCAAGUCUCUCGGCUCCCGUCUCCUCGUCUCCGCGGCGGUGCCGGAAGGGAACUCGUCAAAAACAAGAAAUCAAAGUCUCAAGGAAUGCUGAAAGAUGUGCUUGCAUAGAAGAGAUCUCUUCUGUGAGACCAAGAACAUCACCACUCUGCGUGGGCCCAUUUGGUCACCUCUUGAUGUGAGCAACCACCUUGCCUGCAUCAACGCCACGCCAUUCAGACUCCGCUAUGACGAAUCCACCAGAGUGCUGGAUCAUGACUUCGGGGAGGCUGGCUGAAGUGUCGUAGCAUAUUUAAGUGGUAGCCACAAGAAUAUUAGUGGCCGUGACUUAUACUCUUGAAGGCAUGGAGAACAGUGGGAAGAUCGUAAUGGGUAGGUAUGAGGUGGGGAGAUUGUUAGGGAAAGGAGCAUUUGGCAAGGUGCACUACGCCAAGAACCUUGAGUCAAACCGAGGCGUCGCCAUAAAGAUGUUGGACAAGGAGAAGGUGCUGAAGGUCGGGCUCGCGGAGCAGGUCAGGCGUGAGAUCACCACCAUGCGGUUGGUAGCGCACAAAAGCAUUGUUCAGCUCCAUGAGGUCAUGGCGACACGAAGCAAGAUCUACUUCGUCAUGGAGUACAUGAAAGGCGGUGAGCUCUUUGACAAGGUUUCCAAGGCUGGCAAGCUCACCGAGGAUGCUGCACGCAAGUAUUUCCAGCAGCUCAUCAGUGCAGUGGAUUACUGCCACAGCCGAGGCGUGUAUCACCGGGACUUGAAGCCUGAGAACCUACUCCUUGAUGAGAAUGAAAACCUGAAGGUUUCUGAUUUUGGGCUGAGUGCACUUUCAGAAUCGAAGAGCCAAGAUGGCAUGCUCCACACCACCUGUGGAUCGCCUGCAUAUGUGGCUCCAGAGGUGAUCAGCAAGGGAGGCUAUGAUGGUGCAAAAUCAGAUAUCUGGUCUUGCGGUGUCAUCCUCUUCGUUCUUGUUGCUGGUUACCUCCCUUUCCAAGGUCAGAACUUGAUAGAGAUGUACCGGAAGAUUGAGAAAGGCGAUUUCAGGUGCCCUGGCUGGGUUUCCCAAAAACUUCAGAAGCUGUUGUACAAGAUCAUGGACCCUGAUCCGAACAAGAGGAUAUCAAUCCAGAAGAUAAAGGAGUCCACCUGGUUCCGGAAAGGUCCCGGGGAGAACCUUACAGUGAAGGAGAGACUGCCAAGUGAGAAUGCCAACACGGAUGCUGUUCCAACACUUGGUGUGAGGCGCAGGAAGAACAGUCACGAAGACGCGAAGCCCCUGGCGGUGACAAAUUUAAAUGCCUUUGAAAUCAUCUCUUUCUCCACAGGGUUUGACCUCUCUGGCCUAUUCGUCGAGAAGGAGAGCAAAAAGGAAGCAAGGUUCACUUCAGAACAGCCUGCCUCAGCCAUUGUCUCGAAGCUGGAAGCUGUUGCGAAGACGCUGAAUCUCAGGGUGAGGAAGAAGGAUAAUGGUGUUGUCAAGAUGCAAGUGAGGAAGGAAGGCAGGAAUGGUGUUCUUCAGUUUGACUCGGAGAUCUUUGAGAUCAGCCCCUCGUACCAUCUCAUUGAGAUGAAACAAACAAGCGGUGAUUCACUGGAGUACCAGAAGCUAUUGGAGGAGAGCAUCCGGCCAGCACUGAAGGACAUUUGUCUGGGCAUGGCAUGGAGCUGAUGGUCAGCAGGAGCCUCAAGGGUAGCUUUAGAUAUCUCACUUAUUAUGUUUAGUUCCGCAACUUUUUUCUUUUCAGCUCGAGUAAUUGUGUUAUAUAUAUACUUUGCAUGUGUGCUCUUUGUCACAAAUAAAUUGUUCCUUCUUCUGUAUUUGACAAGUAAUAACUGUUGCUAAGUUGAGGACAUGGAUUAAGCUGUUUCUUUGAUGUAACAUAUAUCAUAAUGAAAUACAUAUUGAUAUGCUUUGUAAA